GGGGAUGUAGCUCAGUGGUAGAGCGUCCGCUUUGAAAGCGGAAGGCACGGGUUUUGAUCCCCCGCAUCUCCA
Nematostella vectensis (starlet sea anemone) is the source of this 72-nucleotide non-coding RNA. Lineage: Eukaryota; Metazoa; Cnidaria; Anthozoa; Actiniaria; Edwardsiidae. The record is from the annotation of a RefSeq genome assembly.